Molecule: ribosomal RNA, 626 nt
Filed under: Enterococcus faecalis
Lineage: Bacteria; Bacillati; Bacillota; Bacilli; Lactobacillales; Enterococcaceae
Description: bacterial SSU rRNA
Rfam family: Bacterial small subunit ribosomal RNA
Source: RNAcentral
UGCAAGUCGAACGCUUCUUUCCUCCCGAGUGCUUGCACUCGAUUGGAAAGAGGAGUGGCGGACGGGUGAGUAACACGUGGGUAACCUACCCAUCAGAGGGGGAUAACACUUGGAAACAGGUGCUAAUACCGCAUAACAGUUUAUGCCGCAUGGCAUAAGAGUGAAAGGCGCUUUCGGGUGUCGCUGAUGGAUGGACCCGCGGUGCAUUAGCUAGUUGGUGAGGUAACGGCUCACCAAGGCCACGAUGCAUAGCCGACCUGAGAGGGUGAUCGGCCACACUGGGACUGAGACACGGCCCAGACUCCUACGGGAGGCAGCAGUAGGGAAUCUUCGGCAAUGGACGGAAGUCUGACCGAGCAACGCCCCGUGAGUGAAGAAGGUUUUCGGAUCGUAAAACUCUGUUGUUAGAGAAGAACAAGGACGUUAGUAACUGAACGUCCCCUGACGGUAUCUAACCAGAAAGCCACGGCUAACUACGUGCCAGCAGCCGCGGUAAUACGUAGGUGGCAAGCGUUGUCCGGAUUUAUUGGGCGUAAAGCGAGCGCAGGCGGUUUCUUAAGUCUGAUGUGAAAGCCCCCGGCUCAACCGGGGAGGGUCAUUGGAAACUGGGAGACUUGAGUGCAGAA